AACAGCCGCGGUAAUUCCAGCUCCAAUAGCGUAUAUUAAAGUUGUUGCAGUUAAAAAGCUCGUAGUUGAAUUUCGGGGUCAGUAGGUUGGUCAUGCCACUGGUAUGUACUGGUCUCACUGAUUCCUCCUUCCUGAUGAACUGUAAUGCCAUUAAUCUGGUGUUGCAGGGAAUCUGGACCGUUACUUUGAAAAAAUUGAGUGUUUAAAGCAGGCUAACGCCUGAAUACAUUAGCGUGGAAUAAUGGAAUAGGGCGUUCGAUCCUAUUUUGUGGUUUCUAGGAUUGACGUAAUGAUUAAUAGGGAUAGUUGGGGGCAUUAGUAUUCAAUUGUCAGAGGUGAAAUUUCUUGGAUUUAUUGAAGACUUAACUACUGCGAAAGCAUUUUGCCAAGGAUGUUUUCAUUAAUCAAGAACGAAAGUUAGGGGAUCGAAGACGAUCAGNUACCGUCGUAGUCUUAACCAUAAACUAUCGCCGACUAGGGAUCGGGACGAUUGUUUAAAUUUUUUAUGACUUCAUUCGGC
This 520-nucleotide ribosomal RNA is filed under the name uncultured Glomus. Its description in RNAcentral is "SSU rRNA". It matches the Rfam family "Eukaryotic small subunit ribosomal RNA", at positions 569 to 1084 of the family's 1831-position model. The record is from RNAcentral. Lineage: Eukaryota; Fungi; Glomeromycota; Glomeromycetes; Glomerales; Glomeraceae.